AAAACUUUCAACAACGGAUCUCUUGGUUCUGGCAUCGAUGAAGAACGCAGCGAAAUGCGAUAAGUAAUGUGAAUUGCAGAAUUCAGUGAAUCAUCGAAUCUUUGAACGCACAUUGCGCUCCCUGGCAUUCCGGGGAGCAUGCCUGUUCGAGCGUCAUUA
RNAcentral lists this ribosomal RNA (159 nucleotides) under fungal sp. VC7. Its description in RNAcentral is "5.8S ribosomal RNA". It matches the Rfam family "5.8S ribosomal RNA". Rfam says of the family: 5.8S ribosomal RNA (5.8S rRNA) is a component of the large subunit of the eukaryotic ribosome. It is transcribed by RNA polymerase I as part of the 45S precursor that also contains 18S and 28S rRNA. Functionally, it is thought that 5.8S rRNA may be involved in ribosome translocation. Lineage: Eukaryota; Fungi. RNAcentral also lists the same sequence under 1 other name. The record is from RNAcentral.